Molecule: long non-coding RNA, 2325 nt
Organism: Equus asinus (donkey)
Lineage: Eukaryota; Metazoa; Chordata; Mammalia; Perissodactyla; Equidae
Source: Ensembl
GUUUUAAAUGAGGUGAAACAAAAGUUUAAAAAUGUUAAUGAUUAAAAAGUUGAUAUCUAGUGUCUCUAAGGAAAAUAAUGAACACUUUAUCGCAUUAAGCGUUGUUUUAAGACUGUGAUGCAGUAAUUCAGGGUUCAGCCUAUUUGAUGGUUGGUUUUAACGCACCGUCAUGGCUUAAAAAAGGUGGCUUCCAAACUCUAAACGGAGGAGGGGCACUGCUGGUCAUGUUAAGUCAUGAUGCUUAUGAAUUCACUUUUAUUCGCCAAUUAUACAAAGGUUUUUGUUGAAAUCUGACUAGUAAAUUUCCGUCUUCUCUAGUAGCAGACCAAUUGAAACGUGUUAGAGUUUUGUAUUUUUUAACCAGGGACUUUAAAGCGCUCAAACUCCUCAUUUGGAAAGUUUUGAACAAGUUGUAAGAGCAUUUCCAACACUGUUUAACACGUUUACCUGGGUUUUGGCCAAAAGAUGACUUAAACAAUGGCAACACUUCCAAACAUCCUUUUCUGACAUCCUUCUCCAUAGCGCUCGCUCAGUAGUCUUUUCUAGGGCUCUCGGUCAUGGGGCGCGGGGUGGAGUAGGUUCUAGUGUGUGGGUCUUCUUUUGCCAUGUGGCUGCCUGCUCACUGGCCCGUGUGCGUGCCGUAGACAGUGGCCUCACCGCCAGCCCCUGUCCUGCGCUUCCUCAGGAGCCUGGAGGUCCUGGGCCCUGUAAGUGCCAGGCUGAGCAGAGCAGAGAGAAGCUGCACAGUGUCUGUGUGUGUGUGUGUGUGUGUGUGUGUGUGUAAUGGCGCCCUGUAAGUGCCAGGCUGAGCAGAGCAGAGAGAAGCUGCACAGUGUGUGUGUGUGUGUGUGUGUGUGUGUGUGUGUGUGUGUGUGUGUGUGUAACGGCGCCCGUGAGUCACUGUGCUGUGUUCCUGCCGUACCCUUCCCUCACAACCACUGGAGAGAGCCUGGACACUCAGACAGGGGGAGGGGAAGCAACUUUCACAAUCUUCUUCCAGGUCAGAUUCGUCUGCUUCUCCUCACUCUUCUGGUUAGGCCUUCCUGCUAUUGGUUUUGUCUUAUUCCAUAUUUGGAUCUUCGUUGACCAAUUUUGAGUAUCUUCUUCCUUUCUCUUCUAGACAUUUCUUCUUUCUAAACUUCCGUGUUUCUCAUUUCUUCCAACUGUAGGAAAAGCCAACUCUAACGACCGUUAAACUCUGCCUUCAGUUCUCAGCACCCUGCAGGGUGACAUCCUGAGGUACCAUCUUGGGGAAUCUGUAUAGACUGUGAAGUAGCACAUUAGGGAAGUAGAGGCAAGUUUGCUUGGGGGAGGGGUCUAUUUAAUGAUAUCAAAGUUCUGCCCACCUCAGUUCUUCCUAUACUUUCUACCAAGGAUGAUGUGAUCCAUUUUCCUUCCUUUGAGGUACAUGGCAAUCAACUUUACUCCUAAAUUUCAUAUGCUCAAAUCAUCUAAAUGGCUUGGUUAUUAGAAAGGAUAAAAUGAGCUUUUUCACUCCGGAUCCCUCUUUCUUCCCACACAUGUCUCUGUGAUCACUCCUACUAUCACUGUAGCCCCACUGUCUUCCCAUCGUGUACAACUGGACUCACCACUCAGGCCCCAACUUUGCGGUCAUUGACGUCUCACCUGCUUCCCUGUUUUCACUUCUUCCAGCAAAUGGUUAUGGUGCCCUCUGCUAUGAACAGAGCGCUGUCUAAGUCCUGGGACUACAAGGUUAUGCUGGCCUCACCUGCAGAUCUGACAGCCAGCCUGUGGACACAGCCAUAUCAACUUGAUGCUGUGAUGAUCAGCAAGGAGAAACUAGGUGUUGGGAAGACACUCCUCAAAGUCAGAUGUGAUUUCGUGGAAUGAGAGUCCAAAAGCACCCAUGACCCAUCCCCACCCCAAGACUAAUACCCAAACUGUUGGGGGACCGGCCAGGAGACUGAAGAGAAGCACAGUGGACGUUCUGUGUGCGGCUGCAUCUCAGAUUGCAGUAGCCCCUGCCAGACUCCUCACGCCCACCUGCGAUAGAACGCUGCUCCUCUCCCCACAUCCCUGCGCUCCUCUGAACCCUGGAGCAGGCAGCAGCGAAGAGUCAGGCUGGAGACUCCUCCCAAACAAGUCAAUGGCGAGCGAAGCAAGCGCUCUAGACCUGUGCGGUCCAAUGCAGCUGCCACCGGACACAGGGGGAGACCCAGCACUUGAAAUGAAGCCAGUGCAAAUUGAGAUGUGCUGUAGCUAUAAAAUACACACCAGAUUUUGAAUACUUAGUAUAAAAAGAGAGUGUAAAAUGUCUCAUUAAUCAUUUUAUGUUGAUUACGUUUUGAAAUGAUACUGUUUUUG